RNAcentral lists this ribosomal RNA (255 nucleotides) under uncultured bacterium. RNAcentral describes it as "partial 16S ribosomal RNA". It matches the Rfam family "Bacterial small subunit ribosomal RNA", at positions 524 to 776 of the family's 1533-position model. The record is from RNAcentral.
CACGUAGGGCGCAAGCGUUGUCCGGAAUUAUUGGGCGUAAAGAGCUCGUAGGCGGUCUGUUGCGUCCGCUGUGAAAACUCGGGGCUUAACCCCGAGCCUGCAGUGGAUACGGGCAGACUAGAGGUAGGUAGGGGGAGAAUGGAAUUCCCGGUGUAGCGGUGAAAUGCGCAGAUAUCGGGAGGAACACCGGUGGCGAAGGCGGUUCUCUGGGCCGUUACCUGACGCUGAGGAGCGAAAGCGUGGGGAGCGAACAGG